Molecule: non-coding RNA, 201 nt
Organism: Myodes glareolus (Bank vole)
Lineage: Eukaryota; Metazoa; Chordata; Mammalia; Rodentia; Cricetidae
Source: RefSeq, a predicted model, not a curated record
CUGAGGUCAAAUGUUCUCUGAGACAGUGUUGAGAGAAUGAAGCGAGCUGGCUGAAGCAGGGAAGGUGCCUUGGAUUGCUGAGCAAGACAGCCCUCUCUGACUCAGAUGAAAACCGCCUUGUGUUGGGUGAAAUGAUGGGGAGUUAACCAUUUGUUUGCUGGUUUGCGUUUCCCACGAAAAACUCAAAAACAGAAAUUUACC